Armigeres subalbatus is the source of this 753-nucleotide long non-coding RNA. RefSeq lists it as uncharacterized. The record is from RefSeq and is a predicted model, not a curated record. Lineage: Eukaryota; Metazoa; Arthropoda; Insecta; Diptera; Culicidae. The transcript is spliced from 3 exons.
UCGCGUUUUGAUUCAGUUCAGUUGACGACGGUGCGCCGUGCGCCAUAUUCUUUUCUUGUUUUCUCUAAAAAUAAAUGAUUACGUGUAAUCAAAGAGACCGGAAAGCCGUCAAGGUGCACCCAUCAGGAGACGAAUAAACAGCAGAAUUCUUGCCGUCCGCUGCUGGAACAUCCAUCAAAAAUAUUUAGCUCGGGAGUCGGAAGCUGCGCACAAGGGAAAUCCGUAAUCCAUUUGCCAACAGGAUGUGCAUGGAACAUAACCAGCUUUAAAGCGCCUCUGAAUGCUGAAGCCUUCCAUGCAGCUUUGUACAACAUUACUCCGGCGAAGGCAAUCCGGCAGAAUAGGGCUACCUUUGUUCUUUAAAUCAAUACUGGAUUCUGGAUGGUUUUUCGUGAAAUGCAGUCGGAGAAUGAAUGACCCGGAAGGAAAUUGUCCAAUGUCAACUCGCCCAAUCUGCGAAAACCUUUGCAGUGGGCCACGAACCACCAAGAUGAUCCAGCACCGGCCGAAGAUGACGAAAACAUGGAGCAGCGUAGCGACAUCAGCUGGAGGACGCUAUGGUCUGAUGAAGCUGACGCAUGACGGUUUGCAGUGUAUCGCCAUUACAUGUGAUCUCUGAAUGCGACGGCUCGGGCGACGGGACACAACGCUUUCGUAAAAAAUGCGUCAAGAAAGUGCUGUUAUAGUGGAUAUAGUUGGUUAUAUUUAUAUGCCGAUCAUAAUAUAAUAAAUAAACAAAUUAUUUUUAAAAAA